This is a long non-coding RNA of Mus musculus (house mouse), 177 nucleotides long. RefSeq annotates it as predicted gene, 36209. The transcript has 3 exons. Lineage: Eukaryota; Metazoa; Chordata; Mammalia; Rodentia; Muridae. The record is from RefSeq and is a predicted model, not a curated record.
UGCUCCAAGUUUUCCUCCUUUAACUAACAGUGUGUUGGCAAAUUGGGAAGUGUUCUGUGGAGAGGCAAGGGCCUGCGGCAGAGUGGAAAUCUGAGAGGAAAUGGAGCCUCAAAACACAGGCCUCGUUCAAACUCCUCCUCACGUGUGGCUGUCUCUGGAUUUCUGGUACUGUUAGAU